AUACGGAAGGUCCGGGCGUUAUCCGGAUUUAUUGGGUUUAAAGGGAGCGCAGGCGGAGAUGCAAGCGUGACGUCAAAUUUCGGGGCUCAACCCCGUCUCGCGUCGCGAACUGCGUCCCUUGGUUGCGGGAAGGGGAGGCGGAACUCGUGGUGUAGCGGGGAAAUGCAUAGAUAUCACGAAGAACUCCGAUCGCGAAGGCAGCCUUCCGGCCCGUCAACGACGCUCAUGCUCGAAAGUGUGGGGAGCAAACAGGAUUAGAUACCCUGGUAGUCCACACUGUAAACGAUGAAUGCUAGGUGUAAGAGGUAUCGACCCCUUUUGUGCCGGAGUCAACACAAUAAGCAUUCCGCCUGGGGAGUACGGCCGCAAGGUUGAAACUCAAAUGAAUUGACGGGG
RNAcentral lists this ribosomal RNA (396 nucleotides) under uncultured bacterium. RNAcentral describes it as "partial 16S ribosomal RNA". It matches the Rfam family "Bacterial small subunit ribosomal RNA", at positions 523 to 918 of the family's 1533-position model. The record is from RNAcentral.